This 253-nucleotide ribosomal RNA is filed under the name uncultured bacterium. RNAcentral describes it as "partial 16S ribosomal RNA". It matches the Rfam family "Bacterial small subunit ribosomal RNA", at positions 524 to 776 of the family's 1533-position model. The record is from RNAcentral.
UACGUAGGGUGCGAGCGUUGUCCGGAAUUAUUGGGCGUAAAGAGCUCGUAGGCGGCUUGUCGCGUCGGAUGUGAAAGUCCGGGGCUUAACUCCGGGUCUGCAUUCGAUACGGGCAGGCUAGAGUUCGGUAGGGGAGAUCGGAAUUCCUGGUGUAGCGGUGAAAUGCGCAGAUAUCAGGAGGAACACCGGUGGCGAAGGCGGAUCUCUGGGCCGAUACUGACGCUGAGGAGCGAAAGCGUGGGGAGCGAACAGG